This 74-nucleotide transfer RNA is filed under the name Candidatus Falkowbacteria bacterium RIFCSPLOWO2_02_FULL_45_21. RNAcentral describes it as "tRNA-Pro". It matches the Rfam family "tRNA". From Rfam's summary of the family: Transfer RNA (tRNA) molecules are approximately 80 nucleotides in length. Their secondary structure includes four short double-helical elements and three loops (D, anti-codon, and T loops). Further hydrogen bonds mediate the characteristic L-shaped molecular structure. tRNAs have two regions of fundamental functional importance: the anti-codon, which is responsible for specific mRNA codon recognition, and the 3' end, to which the tRNAs corresponding amino acid is attached (by aminoacyl-tRNA synthetases). tRNAs cope with the degeneracy of the genetic code in two manners: having more than one tRNA (with a specific anti-codon) for a particular amino acid; and 'wobble' base-pairing, i.e. permitting non-standard base-pairing at the 3rd anti-codon position. The record is from RNAcentral. RNAcentral also lists the same sequence under 1 other name. Lineage: Bacteria; Candidatus Falkowiibacteriota.
CGGGCCAUCGUAUACCGGUAGUACACACGCUUCGGGUGCGUGUAGACUGGGUUCAAUUCCCAGUGGCCCGACCA